Molecule: transfer RNA, 77 nt
Filed under: Helicobacter sp.
Lineage: Bacteria; Pseudomonadati; Campylobacterota; Epsilonproteobacteria; Campylobacterales; Helicobacteraceae
Also listed under: 2 other names
Description: tRNA-Arg
Rfam family: tRNA
About the family: Transfer RNA (tRNA) molecules are approximately 80 nucleotides in length.
Source: RNAcentral
GUCCUUGUAGCUCAGCUGGAUAGAGCGUUCGAUUCCUAAUCGAGAGGUCAUGCGUUCAAAUCGCAUCAAGGACACCA